Molecule: ribosomal RNA, 497 nt
Filed under: uncultured bacterium
Lineage: Bacteria
Description: partial 16S ribosomal RNA
Rfam family: Bacterial small subunit ribosomal RNA
Source: RNAcentral
GAUGAACGCUGGCGGCGUGCCUAAUACAUGCAAGAAGAACGCUGAAGCUUGGUGCUUGCACCGAGCGGAUGAGUUGCGAACGGGUGAGUAACGCGUAGGUAACCUGCCUCUUAGCGGGGGAUAACUAUUGGAAACGAUAGCUAAUACCGCAUAAAAGUCGAUAUCGCAUGAUAUUGAUUUGAAAGGUGCAAAUGCAUCACUAAGAGAUGGACCUGCGUUGUAUUAGCUAGUUGGUGAGGUAACGGCUCACCAAGGCGACGAUACAUAGCCGACCUGAGAGGGUGAUCGGCCACACUGGGACUGAGACACGGCCCAGACUCCUACGGGAGGCAGCAGUAGGGAAUCUUCGGCAAUGGGGGCAACCCUGACCGAGCAACGCCGCGUGAGUGAAGAAGGUUUUCGGAUCGUAAAGCUCUGUUGUAAGAGAAGAACGAGUGUGAGAGUGGAAAGUUCACACUGUGACGGUAACUUACCAGAAAGAGACGGCUAACUACGUG